Long non-coding RNA from Sapajus apella (tufted capuchin), 530 nucleotides. RefSeq lists it as uncharacterized. Lineage: Eukaryota; Metazoa; Chordata; Mammalia; Primates; Cebidae. The transcript is spliced from 2 exons. The record is from RefSeq and is a predicted model, not a curated record.
GCCAGAGGCAGAGCUGGUGGACACCUGAUAGCAUUGCCCAAGUAACUGGAGCUAAAGUUUUCCUUGUUGUGGAGACAAAUACACUGAAAAUCCAGGCAGAGAACAAAUCACAUUACCUUCAUUUUAGAAAGUUCUUUGAAGAUGGAUUUUAAAUCUCCUGGAAUAAAUGAGAAGCUUUCAACAGACCCAGAUGUUUCAUGACUUCCUUCAUUUGUUCUAAGUAGCUUCCUUCUAGCCCAACCCUCACCAAUUCAUAAGAAUUCAACCUGAUCAACCACCCUGUUGUGAAGAAGAAAAGGUUUCUUUUCCCACCAGUGGCUAAAAUAUGGCUGAAGCACCUAUAACAAAAGGCAGAUUACCAAGAGAGAAGCAUACAAAUUUAUUUAAGUUUUAUGUGACUCAAGAGCCUUCAGAAAUGAAGAACCAAAGAAAAAGGGAAACCAGUGUAUUUUUUGGCUAAAUUUGAUGAAAGAGAAGGAUGACUGCACUAAAGGGUUAUGAUAUAGUGCUAAUAAACUGGGAAAAACUUA